CAAAAUGUAGCUUAAACAAAGCCUCUUGCUUACACCAAGAAGAUAUCUGUGCAACCCAGACCAUUUUGAG
RNAcentral lists this transfer RNA (70 nucleotides) under Rhacophorus monticola (Loka flying frog). RNAcentral's name for it is "tRNA-Val". The record is from RNAcentral. Lineage: Eukaryota; Metazoa; Chordata; Amphibia; Anura; Rhacophoridae.